CUGCCCAAUGACUCUUAGUUCAAUGGCCGCGGUAUCUUGACCGUGCAAAGGUAGCAUAAUCACUUGCCCCUUAAUUAGGGGCUGGCAUGAAAGGACACACGAAAGCUUCCCUGUCUCACAAUAAUAAAUAAAAAUUAAUCUUUAAGUGAAAAAGCUUAAAUAAAAUUGCAGGACAAGAAGACCCCGUUGAGCUUUAUUCUCUAUAGACCAAUCUAAAUAUUUAUUAUAUCAUAAACCUAAAAAAGAAUUUAGUUGGGGUGACUAAGGAACAUCAUAAACUUCCUCUAUCUAUUUAGGGCUAUUCCCCAAAAAAAUUGACCCACAAACCGUGAUCAAAAAAAUAAGCUACCACAGGGAUAACAGGCUAAUCUUUCUUAAGAGCCCAAAUUGUCAGAAAGGAUUGGCACCUCGAUGUUGGCUUAGGGGCCCCUAAUGGUGCAGAAGCCAUAAAAGGUAG
Molecule: ribosomal RNA, 457 nt
Filed under: Seepiophila jonesi
Lineage: Eukaryota; Metazoa; Annelida; Polychaeta; Sabellida; Siboglinidae
Description: partial 16S ribosomal RNA
Rfam family: Bacterial large subunit ribosomal RNA
Source: RNAcentral